RNAcentral lists this unclassified non-coding RNA (347 nucleotides) under Hevea brasiliensis (rubber tree). The record is from RNAcentral. Lineage: Eukaryota; Viridiplantae; Streptophyta; Magnoliopsida; Malpighiales; Euphorbiaceae.
GCGAGUUCGUUUCUUAAACAAUUUCCCCAUUUUACGCCCCUACGGUUGAACACUGGAACUGGAGCUGAAACUGAGCCUCUUUCAUAGACAAGUACUAUUCUGGCAUUAUCAGAUCUCUCGUCUUGCUUUUACAUUUUAACUUCGCGUCGACAAGCUCAUAACUUUAUUAUUAAGGUUUCAAUUCUGCUCAACCUUACUGAAUUCCUUCUUUUGGAUCCAAUUGGACUUGAAAGAUGGGAGCUGCAGAGAAGAGUUUUGACGUGGAGGAGGGAACUCUUGAGAUUGGAAUGGAGUAUAGAACCGUCUCUGGUGUUGCUGGACCGCUGGUUAUUCUCGACAAAGUCAAG